AUAUUUGAUAAUGGGGGCAACCCUGAUAUAGCCAUGCCGCGUGUGUGAAGAAGGUCUUCGGCUUGUAAAGUACUUUAUCGUUGGAAGAAGGGCUUUAGGUUAAUACCCUGAAUUUUUGACGUUACCAACAGAAUAAGAACCGGCGAACUCUGUGCCAGGAGCCGCGGUAAUACAGAGGGUGCAAGCGUUAAUCGGAAUUACUGGGCGUAAAGCGCUCGUAGGUGGUUCAGUAAGAUGGGUGUGAAAUCCCCGGGCUUAACCUGGGAACUGCUUUCAUAACUGCUGAGCUAGAGUACGGUAGAGGGUAGUGGAAUUUCCUGUGUAGCGGUGAAAUGCGUAGAUAUAGGAAGGAACACCAGUGGCGAAGGCGACUACCUGGACUGAUACUGACACUGAGGUGCGAAAGCGUGGGGAGCAAAC
This 420-nucleotide ribosomal RNA is filed under the name uncultured bacterium. RNAcentral's name for it is "partial 16S ribosomal RNA". It matches the Rfam family "Bacterial small subunit ribosomal RNA", at positions 361 to 773 of the family's 1533-position model. The record is from RNAcentral.